CCUACGGGAGGCAGCAGUGGGGAAUCUUGCGCAAUGGGCGAAAGCCUGACGCAGCGACGCCGCGUGGGGGAUGAAGCUUUUCGGAGUGUAAACCCCUUUCGACCGGGACGAAUGCCCGCAAGGGAGUGACGGUACCGGUAGAAGAAGCCCCGGCUAACUACGUGCCAGCAGCCGCGGUAAGACGUAGGGGGCCAGCGUUGUUCGGAAUUACUGGGUGUAAAGGGUUCGUAGGCGGUGUGGCAAGUCGGGAGUGAAAUUUCUGGGCUUAACUCACAGGCUGCUUCCGAAACUGCUGUGCUCGAGUGUGGGAGAGGCGCGUGGAAUUGCAGGUGUAGCGGUGAAAUGCGUAGAUAUCUGCAGGAACACCCGUGGCGAAAGCGGCGCGCUGGACCACUACUGACGCUGAGGAACGAAAGCUAGGGGAGCAAACAGGAUUAGAUACCCUGGUAGUCCUAGCCCUAAACGAUCAGGACUUGGGGUGCCACCCGUUCGGGUGUCGUCCCGGAGCUAACGCGUUAAGUCCUGCACCUGGGGAGUACGGUCGCAGGCUGAAACUCAAGGAAUUGACGG
This 570-nucleotide ribosomal RNA is filed under the name uncultured bacterium. RNAcentral's name for it is "bacterial SSU rRNA". It matches the Rfam family "Bacterial small subunit ribosomal RNA", at positions 338 to 916 of the family's 1533-position model. The record is from RNAcentral.